Molecule: long non-coding RNA, 15849 nt
Filed under: Actinidia chinensis (golden kiwifruit)
Lineage: Eukaryota; Viridiplantae; Streptophyta; Magnoliopsida; Ericales; Actinidiaceae
Description: long non-coding RNA (ACHI_LNC008867)
Source: RNAcentral
UAUAAACAAGUAAAUCAUCAAUUAACAUUGUAAUAAGGCCAACAUGGCUUCAUUUACCCAUGAAAGCCAAAAUUUGUUGCGUAAGCAUAAACAAAAUUAGCACAACAAAAGAACGGCGAUUGAAUGUCUUGUCAAGCCCAACCCAUCUUUCUCCUUAAAAUCCAAGUAUUAAGGAGAGGAGAACAUAAGCCUUAUAGAUAGCAUAGAGGGGCCAAACACACCUCCUGGACCACAGCAGCCGGACACUCGGCACACUUGACAACUGACCCAACUUUUGACGACAGGUCCAACCUUACUUUGAUACCACUUGUCAGGCCCAUCCCAUCUUUCUCCUUCAAAUUCAGGUAUUAAGGAGAGGGGAACAUAAGCCUUAUAGACAGCAUAGAAGGGCCAAACACCCCCCCUGAACCACAGCAGCCGAACACUCGGCACGCUUGACAACUGGCCCAACUUUUGACGACAUGCCCAACCUUGCACUAAUACCACUUGUCAGGCCCAACCCAUUUUUCUUCUUAAAACCCAAGUAUUAAGGAGAGGAGAACAUGAACCUUGUAGACAGCAUAGAGGGGCCAAACACAACCCCUGGACCACAGCAACCGGACACUCGACACGCUUGACAACUGGCCCAACUUUUGAUGACAGGCCCAACCUUACUCUAAUACCAAGUUGAAAUGAAUAGAAAAAGGAUUUAUAGUAUAUUGAGAUUGAGAUCAUAAAUAUUUAUACACAAAAUAAAGAAAGUGAGGGGGAACAUGAUCCAUAAUUUAGGCUAAAAGAAAGGGGACAUGAUCCAUAAUUUAUGCCCUAAAUUGUGCCAUAAUAUAUGGUAUCAGAGCAAGGUUGCUCUUGGUCAGCCUCCUAGGCUUCCGCUGUUUAGCCGUCGCCAGAUGCAACCCCUGCUGCCUUCCUGCAGCCCCUUACAGCCAAUUUCCAGCCCCCCUGCUACCUCCUAGAACUUCCUGCAACCUCAUGCAUCCUUCCUGCAGCCUUCCUGUAGCCCUUUUGCAGUCCCCUAUUGCCUAAUGCAACAUCUUGCAGCUUCUUGCAAUCUGCGACCUCACAUAGCCUUUGUCGUCGAUAUCUUGAGGCCUCUUGCUGCCUCGCACAGCCUGCAGCCUCGUAUAGCCUUUGCCAUCGAUAUUUCGAUGCCUUUGUCCACUAGGGUCUUCCGGUUUGUUCCGUCUCCGCUUCAGUCCUCUAUUGUCAAGCUAAAAGCUUGAUUGGUAUCUCCUCUCAGCUUGAGGGGUAGUGUUGGAAAUAAGGAUUGAUUAGAAUAUAUUGUGCCAUACAUUAUGGCACAAUUUAGGGCUAAUUAGGGAUCAUGUCCCUUAAUCUUAGGCCGAAAUUAGGAAUCAUGUCCUUACUUUUAGCCUAAAUUAGGGAUCAUGUCCCCCUCACUUUCUUUACUCGUGUAUAAAAUUUACUUAUGAUCUCAAUUCUCAAUUUAUACUAAAAACUUAUUCUUAUUUCGGUUCAACUCUAAAUGUGUAAUAUCCUUUAUUUUUGUAACAAGUAUCACCUUUUCUAGUUAGAUUUAUUUAAUUUGGGUAUUCAACCGGAAUUUAAUAAAAAAUAUUGUUAAAAAGAGUCAAGGGGUGCAACGUAAAACCAAUUGGCUAUAAGUAAAGUAGCAUCUAGAUUAUGUAUGCUAAGUUUGGGUGGCUUAAGUAAGCGAUAUAGAACUAACACUUCUAACAAUUAUAAGAUCUAAUUAUUGUAUUUUAAAAGAUGAGUAAAUUAAAUAAGGAGAACAAUUAACCGAAAUGUGAAGAUUUCAGGAAACACGUGGAGGAGCCAAGAGACACGGGGAAUAGUCAACUAAAACGGUGUUCUCAUGCUAUAUAUUGCAUCAUGCAGUAUAUAGUUUCCGUCUUAUUGCAGCUUUGAAGUAAUUUGCAAAACUUACAAGUUAAAAGACAAUAUUUUUCUUUGAAUGACACUGAGGAGAAAAGAAUCAGGAUUUCAGAUAUCAAUUAAAGUCACCGGAUAAAUACCACAUAUCUCAUAGCCAUAACAACACUAUGAAUAGUCAUGUAAGGAAUAUUUGCUAUUUUUUUAGGAACGGUUGAAAGGAUCAAAGAUCAUAAUCAAUAGCAUACCAGCUUUGCAUAUCCAAAAAAAAUAAAAAUAAAUAUAAAACAACACAAAAUCUUUCAAACCAUUACAAAUUGGAAAGCCCUCAGAUCUCAUAGCUGACAUAAUUCAUUGAUGGUUAAAGUCUAUGGUUAGUCAUAGGAAGCCACUCCACAACUAAAUAAUAAUAAUAAUAAUAGUAGAAGAAGAUGAUGAUGAUGUUGCUGCUGUUGAUGAUGAUAAUAAUGAUGAUGGGGAGGCUUCCAAUGAAAACCAUAGCAACCACUCCACAAGAAUGAGUUCUCCUUCAUCGGGUAUCAAAGUUUUUCACCCAUUUAAGAGUAAAACCAAAAACCAACAUAAGGAUAAUUGCAACACGAAGCAUCAACUUUAGAUAAGAAAUUCAGCAAAAGAAAAAAUAAUGGCAAAAUUAAGAUACUUUUGAAAGGAUGAGUAGCUUUCUAUGCUGAAUGUCCAUCAAUAACAGCAUAAAAUAAAUUGAAUAUAACUAUUCUAACACCAUAAAAUAACUCCGCAAGACAUUUUAAUAUGUACGCACCCUCCAUUAAUAUCCUAGCAAUUAUUUGCAUAAAAAAUUGUAUAUAACUGGAGAGCAAACGAGGAGAUGAAUAAUCCAGUGCCAGAUGCAGAAAAAUAUUCAAUUUUACUUGAUGCCUUACCAUGAAGGUAGAUUAUAAAAUCAUCAAAAAUUACCUCAAAUCUAGAAGCCAACUUUUAUUCCAGACUAAAACAAAUGUCCUAUAGCAUCAAGAAAUGAAGAAUUACGGAUAGUGGAAGUACAAAAUUAAAAUCCUUAUAACUUGCUCCUUACAAAGAUAGCUUCAGCCAUAAUGCAAGAGUCAACACAAAAGGGUUCUCAUACAAUAUAUUAUUGUUAUAGUCACUAGACAAUUCCAAGCAAGGUUAGAAAUAUCAUGCAAAUGUCAUUUUCCCUGAUCAGGUAAACUGGAUAACGCUGCUCAAGAAUUUGAGAAACUUACCCAUGUAAAAACACUAUUGUGUUCGAAUGACCCUGAAAAAAAGAACAAUGAUUUCAGUUCUCAUAGAUGGAAGAUAAUAAAACAAUCCAAAAUUACCUCAAACCUCAAAUCCGAAUUUAUACGGCCUUCACAAAUUAGCAGUUGAUAAAACAUUGAAUAUAUAGGCAUUUAGAUCUAGUAUCCAAGCCCAAAUAGUGGAAUAGUUAAUCGGGUGGUCCACAUUCUCUUAAUGGAACAACUAGUGACUGCGAAAAAUGAAACUCAGUUACUAUUAGCUACAUUAGUUUAUUAUUCAAAAAUAAAUUUUCCACAACACAUUAACGAAGCCAGAAAAAUUUUGCGAAGCACGAAUAUGGACACGCAGACAACUAAAUCAAACGAAUUGCAAAGUUCUUUUAGUAUGUCUUUCAUGGCUCGUUAACCUACUUUGAUUAUUGUACUUUUUAUCUAAACAACACCUACAAACACAGACAUUGACAUGGCCAAGGACACGCACGUCCAGAGGAAUGACACUAAUGUCCAUUAUAUGUCCCCAACGUGUUCGAUAAAAUAAAAUAAAAAGUAAUGGACAUACUGAUGUGUCCGAGAGUGUUCGAGGAGUGCCAGUGUCAGUUACAACAACUAAUUUCUAGUGUGCGUACUUCUUAGGAAUUUAGAAUAAAACUGCUCAUUACCAACUUGUAAAGCAAAGUAGCCAAACAAAUCAGAAAUUGAGAAUUAACAGCGAUAAAAUGAAAGAAAAAAAAAUUAAUUUUAGAAAAACUCCAGUGUCCAAUUUCUGCACCGGCAAAAAAAGGAACAAGAGGGAAUCCAAAGACCUAAAAAAAUCUUACUUUCUUCAUGAACAAAGCCCAAAGAAAUGUGCAUAUGCCGUCUAUAUAAGGCCAUAAAAUUUGUUAUGAUUACAAAACUACCUCAAAGUAUUGUUAUUCCCAUACCAGUCAACAAACUAAAUUGUAAUAAUAAACACCCAGAAAAUUAUAAAAGAGUAAGGGACAAAAUACACCAAAAUAGACUAAAAGAUAAACAAUAUGAAACAAUCUUAAUAUCUGAGCCCCAUUUUCCAACCAAAAUGGGACAUUCCUGCUUGAACCAAAUGGAUUUAAUAACUUUCGGCAUCGAUGAUAGCGGUGGUAGUAAAGUUUCGUCGUAAGAUCAUCAAACCUACCAAUAUAUUGGAAAUCACAUCAUCAUCAGGCAAUCUAGAAUCAUAUGUACAACAGAAUACAUAUGUUUAUCUGUCACACGACGGGGAGGGGGGGCUCAUCAUCCGCAAUCUAGAAUCAUAUGUACAACAGAAUACAUAUGUUUAUCUGUUGAAUCUGUGAGGAACAUACACAAGUUAAAUGUGUAAUGUUCAAAGGCCAAUAAUAAUAUAUCAAAUACCCAAAUUACUACAAUACAAUAAAAAAAGCUUUUUACCUUAAAAAACAUAACCAAACAAUGAAAAUGAAUACAACAAAUCAGCAUCAAACGUCAACAAUCCAACAUCCAACAGAACAUAUUAGUGAAAUUGUUGAAUCUAUCAGGACAUGCAUAUAAAUUAAAUGCAUAAUGUUCAGAGAUCAUUGCAAAUAUCAUCAUUCACCAAAUAUCCUAAUUACAAAAAACAAGAAAAACAUACAACUUUUAGCAAGAUCUAACCAAACAACGAACACAAAUCCCAUAAAUAAGCACUCGACGUCAAUAAUCCAACCUAAGUAAUAGAUGUGAACAUCCAAUAAUAGUUAACAAAGGCCCUCAGAUAUCAUUGAUGGUUUAUAUCCAUUAGCAGUCAUCAAAUGCCUUUACAUAUGCAGAUAGAUAGGUAGAUAGAUGGUUAUAGAGAGAGAUGAGACCGGUGAUUCUCGUGGUGAUGGAAAUAAAGGCGAGUGACAACUAAAGAACAUGGAACCACUUAAUACAUAUAGAUUUUUCCAUCAUCAGGCAAACACAUGCGAAUAAUGUGUAUAUUUGCAUUUACAUGUAAAUAGAUAAAUUUAAGAUGCACGUAUGAUCGGCAUUUUCAUGGUGGAGCCGCCAUGGGAGAGGAGUGAGUUGAUGAAGACGCUAGGGUAAUAUAAGGAUUGAGGAUUAUCUAUAGGGGGAUGGGAUUGUCCGGAAUACUUUUGGUUACAGUAUUAAAUAUCUGGAUUACCCUUGGAAUGGGCUUUCCUUAUGGUAUGUUUGGUAGGAGAGAAAACAGAACGAGAGAAAGGGAAAAAAAAAGAUUGUUUGAUAACACAUUUUUCAUUUUGUGUUUUUUGUUUUCAUUGAAUCUUUUUUUGAGAAACACUUAAAUAAACUAGUUUAGUGAACAUUUUUUAAAAAUUGUAGUCAGAAAAAUUAUCAAAAAAUAAAUUUCGUUUUAGAAAACAGUACAAAAAUGUUUUUGAAUUUUUGAAAAGUGCUUAUGCGCACACAUAAAAAAGAAAACGUUAUAAAAUCUAGGAGUUUUUUUCGAACAUUUCGUUCAUUUUGUUUUCAAGAAAACACAAAAAUAAAUAUAAAAAAAAACAAUUCCAAACAAACCACGAUUCUUGAAAGGAUGAUAUUAACAUAGAUCUUUCUUACGGAGUAUUAUAUAGGUGGUCAUACUAUUGUGCUUUCUCACUAUUUUUCCUUUUGGACACACCAAACUUUUUUAUUGAAUUGUUUUCGAGAUUGUUUUGAAAAAACAAUUCAAAGAAUAACUCAAUUUUUACCCGACACUAAAAGAUGUUUUUGGAAUUCUGAAUAAGGCUUGUACAAACAUCAAAGCUAUAUCCCAAGCAUAAGAAUUUCAUACUUUUGGAGCAUCAAGAUCUCAAAUGAAUCUACACCACAUUCUAGAAAAUGCUUAUAAAACAAGUGAAGUACACCCACUAAUAUAUUACCAAAAAAAGAAAAAGAACCUAAAAAUAGUUCAUUUACCAAAAUUUGCAACGAAUUAAUUCAAGUCUCACAAGCUGACUUGUGUGAGUGAAGCAUACCAUUAAAAUAAAAAUAUGCAAUUGGAUGAGAAAAAAUAAGGAAGGUGCAAGUAUUAAGAGUGUUUCUUCAUAGAGCUGACUUAAGUAAGCAUCAACUAAUGCCAAGUCUUAUAAAGAAUUAAAGAAGAGAGACCACACAACCAAAUAUGAAAAGUAAUGGAUAAAUUCAAACUUGUAGCAUACAACGGCAAUAAUAAUACAACCACAAUCACCAAGGGCUGGGUCUUACCACAAGAGGUCUCAACCAAUCUAAACCCCAUAUGUGUAAGUUCGAUCUAAUCCAUUAGACCUUGUUUCUAUUUCUUAUGCUAGCAAUCAUCACGGGUUAAGUUUUACCACAAUAGGCCUCAACCCAUUUAUCCAAAUCUUAUCACAAUAGGCUACAGUUCUAUUUCUUGUGCUAGCCCAAAUUGUAGCAUGUAUUUAGGCUUAGAUGCUAGGUCUAAAUCGGUUAACAGUUAGAAAUGAAGUGCUUGGUGAAUGCCUCUAAGAUCUCACAGCUUUAAGCAAAUUAUCAACAGUUUAGCAUCUCUAGGUCAAUAUUAUUUAUUAAAGAGCCUUUACAACACCAUUUAUAGGCAAUAAUAAUUAACUUGCCAAUGAGAAAAAGCUAAAUGAAAGCAGGCAGGAGGGAGAAAGACGUCGGCAGGACAAAAGAGCUUUUGUCCAAAAAUUACACUUUAAGUCCCUCAUUCUAUUAAGUGAAUCCCCUUUUAACUUUUGGAAAAUGAGGACAGGUGGUAGGGAACCCUAGAUCCACCUAACAAACAAAACACCAUCACAACCCUAGAUCCAACUAAGAAACAAAACACCAUCAAGCUGUAAGGAAGGACAUCCUCCGCCAAGGGCCAAUCACAAUUUGAGAGCAACAGGAUAUCGCUGAUACCUCCCCGUGUUAGGAGUUAAAAGGAGGUUUACUGAGGGACAUAAAAUGUAAUUUUUGGGCUGAGAGCAGUUUUAGGGACCAUGUCUUUCUCCCUCUCUCCCUCUAAUCUUCUCUCCCAGUUUACACCAUUUUAAGGGCUAGAACAAAAGUUCUUCUGUGCAACGAGAGCUUCGAUUUAGACCACACAAAAUUUUGUUUGGACCAAUUUGGAGGUUGGAAUUUUGGGAGUUUUUGCUAUUUUGAGGUAGGAUCUUAUUAAGUAAACUUGCUGAUACGGACUUAGUGUAGAUGUACCUUAAUCUAUGAUUUUGAAUAGUUAUGAAAAGUUGAAAACCUUGAUGGUAUUAACUCCUAGUUCAAGAAUGUGGAAUAUAAUGACUCGUAUGGGUUUAGUGAUUAAGGUGAUAGGCUAUGAGAGGCUAAAAGACCCCAAAAAAAACUGAAAGUGAUAGGCUUAUAGUAGACUGUAAAUAUCAUUUCUCCAAAAAUACAGUCUUUUUUUUCAAAUAUAACAUGUAAAAAAUAUCUUAAAGCAUAAUGGCCCUCUUUGUAAAGUUUUUCCUACUUAAAUUCCAUUACAUUUUAGUUAUUUAUAUCCAUCUUUUUCCCUCCUAGGGAGAACCUUGGAAGAAACAAUAGGGGAAAAAGUCGGAUCGCUAGUUUUUACCUUUCAGAUGUGUCCUGAUUCCUAUGUAUGUUCCAAUACAUUAAUCGCUAUAGUAAUAGUAAUACUUUUUCGUAACACUAAUUUAGAUUCAGCGAUAUUAUUCAAGAGCCAUAACACAACCACACGUAGAAUUAGAUAAUUAACUAAGCGAGGAGGUCUAUGUAUAUUAUCCAUGCAUAAAAAUUAAUGUGGUUUACAAUAUAGCACAAAAGUGCAAAACAACUAAAUAAUGUAGCGCUCAAGUGACUGCAUUUCCAUCAUUCACAAAUUUACCAUUUUUGAAAAUGAUAUAUCAAUAAUGUAGCGCUCAUGCCAUUGCGAUUUUGUGUCAUAAUAUAUCUAAAAUGUACUUCCUGGCAAUUAUUUACAUGAAAAAAUAUUGUAUAAUACUGGAGAGCAAAGGGGGAGAUGAAUAAUCCAGUGUCAGAUGCAGAAAAAUAUCCAAUUUCACUUGAUGCCUCACCAUGAAGGGUAUAUAAUAAAACCAUCAAAAAUUACCUCAAAUUUAAAAGCCAUAUUUCAGUCCAGACUCCACACUCAAUAAAUGUCAGUUCUUGACUAAUCACCUUCACACCUUCAUCUAUAGCAUCAAGAAAUGAGGAAUUACUGAUAGUAGAAAUACAAAAUCCCAAUAACUGUUCCGUAGGCAUUACCAAUAAAGUUUCAACCAUAAUGCAAGAGUUAAUACAAAAGAGUUCUUGUACAGUAUAUUAUUGGUGUUCUAAACGAGAUUAGAAAUAUCAUGCAAAUGUCACAUUUUCCAUGAUCAGGAAACUUAGGUAACGCAGCUCUCGAGUUCGAGGUACUUACACAUACAAAAACAAUGUUUUGUUUGCAUGCCACUGAAAAAAGAAUAAGGAUUUCAGUUCUCAUAGAUGGAAGAUAAUAAAACCAUACAAAAUUACCUCAAAUCCAGCUUUUGUACAGAUUUUAUAAAUGCCCAGUCUUCAUUUAUCAUACUCCACAUCUUCAAUAUAAGGUAUCAAGAGACAAUCACUGAUAGUAAAAAUCCAAGACUAAAGCGCACAUACUGACUGCCUCUUAUUGCUUCCACAUAAUGCAAUAUGCAACAUAGAAGGGUCCUCAUCCGGUAUAUUAUUUAUGUCCCUACUGAGACAUAAAUCCAAGCAAGAUUAGGAAUAUUAUGCCAUAACACAUUUUCUCUGAUCAGGCAAACUGGGAAGACAACUCUAAAGUCAAAAAAUUACGAGUAAAAAUGAUGUCCAUUUGAAGACCCCUGAGAUAAGAAUAAAAAAGCUAGAAUUCAUAAGUAGUCAUGUAAAAGAAUAUUUUCUAAUUUUUGGAGAAAAGAAUAUUAGGAUCAAAGAUCAACAUCAAUAGUAGCAUACCAACUUUCAAGGGCAAGUGGUAUCCAUUGGUUUCUGAGCCCUAAUGCCAGGGACUCAAUCCCCUCAGUUUCCAGCAUCCAAAAACAUCAAACACUAUAACAACACUUGAUGAGCUCUCACAUCUCAUAGCUAUCAUAAUUCCAUGUGGUUCAAGUCAUGGUUUAUCAUUAGAAGCCGCUCCCCUAAUUAAUAAGAAUAUGAACGCUUACAAUUAAAACCAAAAACAACCACUCCAUAGAAUGAGUUUUUCAUCAUCAGGCAUCAAAGCUAUUCCACAUGUGAAAAGUAAAAACAUUAUAGGAUAAUUGCAACAUGAAGCAAGGUACUUCAAAUAAAGAAUUCCGCCAAAGGAUAAAACAAUGUUGAAUUACGAGUUUUGAUCUGAUCACGUGGAGCUUUCUAUGCUGCAUUUCCAUUAAUAAAUGCACAAAAGAAAUCAUCAAAAUCCAGUGUACAGAUGAUAACACCAAUACUUGUAAUUUCUUCAGUUUAUUGUUGAAUGACAUACUAUUCUAAAACGAACUCUAAAUGAGAACAAGUAUAAUGGAAACCAGAAGUAGCCAUAUGGCACAGGUUGCAAAAUAAGCCACAUAACUGCAGGAUCUAAAUAGAACCACCAACGGUUAUCUCUAUUAUUCAGGUUAGUUUAAACAGUGGGUUGAAUUUGGCUUGGUCUAGAUAGGACUAGGAGGUCCAUUUGAAACAAAGUGACUAAUGAAAGCCCUCAGAUCUCAUUACUCUGAGACAAUAGUCAAUGGUUAGUUAGAAUAUAGGAUUCAUCAAAAGCCUUUGCACACCAUCAAACAAUGACGAAUUAAAAGGAUAAAUUGCACUGACACUCCCUGAGUUUGUGAAGGCAGAGGAUAUGGUCAUUUGUAAACGCUUGUGAUAAAUAGAAACCAUCAAACUGCUCAAUAGUCAAUACAAUAAGAUUUUCCAUCAUUGGGCAACCCAGGUACAAGAUCAUAAAAAUGAGAAAAAUUACACAGAGAGAGAAAAUAAAAAGAUAUCUAUAGUAGAAAUGGUUGAAACAAUGACAAAUGAAGGAAUAAAAUAAAAUAAGUAAAGAUGGGCAGUCACCAGAGCAUAGCUGAAAGAAAAGGCAAGUUGAUCUACAAGACAGGCAUAGCGCAAGAGAAUCUAGGGAUAAGGAGAUGCAAAGGACAUAAUUGCAUGGAUAGUGCUUUUUCAACAAUAUACUUAUGUUAAGUACUUUUUAGAUUCCUAUGUGCCUUAAUCUUUAUUAGGGUCCGUUUGAUUAGAAAGAGAAAGAUAAUGGAGAAAUGAUAGGAUCUGUUGAUUACAAAGAAAAACAAUAUGCGAAGUGAAAAUGUUAGAAAGUAACACAUUGACACACUUAAAAAAAAUCUCAACGUCACCACUAAGAUCAAAGUUACAAUGGGAGCAUGAAGAUCUUACAAAUUGUAAUUGGAUGUAAAUAACAGUAGAAGACUUGCAAUAUGGAUUAUGGGUAGUAGUGGAAUGCUAAAAUAACGAGACUAAGUUUCAUGGGAAAAUAAUAAGAUUUCCAUGUACAUUUCGUGGGAAACUAAAAUUAACUUUAUCAGUAAGUUUAAUUUCCACUAUUUUCAAGCACUUUUUUGCUAAGCAAACAAAACAAAAAAAAAACUUUCUUGCACUUUCCAUCGUUUUUUUGCAAAUCCAACGUAUCCACUGUGCCCUUUUUUAGGGGAUUAAAAAGAGGAGAUUGAAUUAGUUAUUUAUGAGACCUGUCUAUCCCACAUUUGGUUGCACGAUUUAACAAUGAAAUCGUGUAAUGAGAUAGAACAUUAUAUUCCAUGGAAGUGGAAUAAUUUCAUCCCGUAGGGAAGGUGGGAUAGAGUAGGAUAGGAUAAAAAUUAUAAACAAAAAUAUCAAGUGUACAAUAACACUCCAAUCCCAUCCCAUCUAAACAUAGGAUAUUUCUCUAUCCCCUUGUCUUGUCCGGCAAGCAAACAUAGCCUCAUUGAUAAUGAGGUCCAUAGUUGCCUUUGGUUCCAAUCACAAGAAUCAACAUACGUGCAAAAGUGGGAGAUAAUACUAUUUCUUCCAAACUCAUCGUAAGCGACAUUAUUGUGCAUAGGAUAUGAUCUUUAUGAUAUGUGCAAUGACUUGUUUGUUUUUUCAAUGCUACUCUUCUGGGACAUCUAAUUGUGUGUAAUUCUUUCUCAUUGGAACUAAUUUAAAGGAGCCGCAAACUAAUUGACUGACUUGGCCAUGAAUUAAAGAAUCUUCACCAAGGCAACUCAACAAGUAGCUUUUCUAACCUCAACCACUGAAGAAUCCCCUUCUAAAGAUGGUAGUGCGUGUGAAAUAACUGCAUGCAAAAAAUUGUUAGUUUGUAAUAGAUAAAAAAAGAAGUAUUUGCUUAAAAUGAAAUAAAAAUUAACUCGUAAAUUUUCACAUUGCCCAAGUAUCCUCAAAACAAUACCGACCAGCUAGCAUGAUUCAAAUCCUCUAAAAGAAACAUAAGCUCAUAGAUGCUGCUUUCAAAAGUUGGUUCCACAACAAAUUGCCUGGAGUUAUCAAGCUAAUAGGGUGAGGAGAAAAGAAGAUGCAGAUUAAAUUAGAACAUAGCAUGAACAAAAGACAAAAACAGACUGAAAGCUUAAUAAACUAGAAGGUUUGGAAAAGUAUACAUAAAGCAAAGCUCCAAAUUUGGAACCCAGCCCGUUGGCUAUCACUUUGUAAGUCUUACAAUACUAUAACCAAAAUAAAAGUUAGCUAUUAGCUCACACUUCGAAAGCCAUGUAUGCACAACCAAGCGAAGAACAAUCCAAUGGAGUUCGAUAUGUUCAAGGUUUCAGCCAACUAAACAAUAAAACCCACAUGCAAAUAUGCAAAAGCAUUCUUUGGAAGCCAUUACUGAUGUGUUUUUCUUCUAUAAUUCUCUAGAAUGAUUUUGCUUGCCAAAUAAAACAUGUCCAGACAAGAAAGCCAGAGCUUGGCUUUUUCACCAGCCAAACAAUAAAACCCACAGGCAAAUAUGCGAAGCAUUCUUCAGAAGCCAUUACUAAUGUAUUUUACUUCUAUAAUUCGAUGGAACACUUUUUUUGCCCAAUAAAACCUGUCCAGGUCAAUAAGAAAGCCAGAGCUUGGCUUCAAUACAAAGAAACCAACAUUUUGGUAAUGCUAAAAACCCACAUUUAAAUCUUUCUGCAUAUUAAUUUCACAGGAGGCUUGGCAACAGAUAAAACUGAAGGAACUAAUAGAGAGAUGAACUCGUGACGGGAAUGACCUCGACAAAAUAUUUGCAAAAUGAUAAGAGAAAAUUCUGAUUUCAUAGGCAUGGAAAUGAUGCUUUGGUGGGGAUUAGCAUGCAUGAAAAAAAAAUCUAAUUUCCAUUUCAUAUUUCUCUAGAAACAAGAAAUUGGAAUGAGAACACCUAGUCCGAGUUCAAAGAACAGAGAACAAAAGGGAAAAAAAUAGAACCUCUUUAUUGAGGGGGAUCGAGAUGGACUUAAAAGCAGACCAAUUCAGGGAAUUGCUUACAAGACCAGCUUCGAAAUUCAGAAUAUACCAAGAUCAUUCAGAGCUACCAUUUUUAAAAUAUAAAAAAAUAGGCAACUAGUUUAACACAGUAUUUUUCAUUUUUAGAAGGCAGCUAUAGCUACUGUAAAGUAAUCAAUAGGCAAUCACAAAAAAUUGUCAUGAGAAGCAAUUCAUAAUAUCUCUUGAACAAAUCAUCAAACGAGAUAAUGUAACCGAGAUAAUGUGUACCACAGACGGAUUAACUGCAACCAUGAAAUAUAAAGUGAUAACUGCAAAACACAUUACCUUAAUAAAACUUUUCAAAUCAAGCCCAAGGUCAAAAUUCAGAACAUAUUCUCAUUUUUCACAUUGGGUGUCCUGUUGCCACAUCCAAUGGACAGAUGCAAAUUAAUCAGAAUAGUUGUCUCUUCCAUUGGAGUCAAGACCCUCAGUCUGGCUACGCUCAAUCCUAUGAAAAAUUUGCCUCCCCUGGCGUUCUAACGCGUCUGUGAUCCAUACUUUACUGCUUCAAAAACUUGCCCAAUCAACCAAUUAGGUUGUCCCAGUUGGCAAGGCCCUAAUAACUCCAUAUGAAAAGUCAUGGAUUCGAGCCUCAAAGAGUGAACCAAUGGUUAAUUUUCCAUUCCUAAAAAGUAACCACGAUGUUUGUUUGCACGCCCCUGAAAAAACAAGUUUUUCAAAUCUCCAAUAGAUUCACCUAACAAUACCUAUAUCUCAUAGCUACAAUUAUGCAUGAAUAGUCAGGAAUAUCUUUCAAGACAACAUUUGAUAAACCCUCAGAUCGCAUAGCUAUCAUAAUUCAUAAUUUCAUUGUGAAGUAUAUGGUUUAUCAUUGAAAAGAAGAAGCAAGUUACUAUCACCGAACUGGGUGACCAAACCAAUCACAAAACAAACAAGACACAAGGAGUGGAUCCUUCAAUACAACCAACCCUUUUGUUUUGCCGAUGACCGAUUCAGUCAUCCAGUUUGGUGAUAAUAUCAUUGGCAAAGAAAUGACACGAUAAUGACAAUGAUGGGAAGGCUUCCAAUGAAAAUCAAAACAUCACUCCACAAUAAUGAGGCAUCCAUCAUUGGGCAUCAAAUCUUUUCAUUGAUUUAAAAGUAAAACUUCAGGAUAAUCACACAGCAUAAAGAAGCAAGUUUGAACCAAGAAUUCAGACAAAGGUGAAAAAACAAAAAUCACUUGUCAAAAGUCAGUUUGAAAAGUAUCAAAUGUAGCUUUUUAUGCGGGAUCUCCAUCAAUAACUACAAAAAAUAAGUUGAACAUACCUACUAUUUUAUCAGUUUAAAAUAGUCUCCACGUUAUUAGUUAGAUAGUAUGGGCAAUGAUCUUCAUUACAUCACAGCUCCACAAACGUAGCCCAAAGGAUUUUGAGUCGAGCAAAUGCCUCAAGUCGAAUUGCUUCACCACGCAUGAGAUCAUUUCUCAAUCAGACCAACCCAAACAAUCCAUAAUUUUCUAUUCUAAGAAACAAGAAGGUCUAGCAUCAAAACUUAUCAGUUUAUUAUCAAUUUAAACAAAGAUAAAAGUCGAGAGAAUGAAGAACUCGGUAAAAAACCUACGGAUGCCUAAGAGGGUACAAACAAGUAAAUCAUCAAUUAACAUUGUAACAAGACCAACAUGGAAUAAUUUAUCCAUGAAAGAUCAGCAUUUGUUGAGUAAGCAUAAAUAAAAGCAGUAUGGCAAACUGCAAAAAAUGAAAGCUGCUGAUACUUUUUAAAGGAUCAUCAACUUUCUAUGUUGCAUUUCCAUCAAUAGCUGUAAAAAAUAAAUUUAACAUAACUAUUCUAACACCAUAAAAUAACUCCAGAUGACAUGUUAAUACACACAUCUCCAAAGUAAAAAAGAAGAUAAGAAAACUACGGGUUUCUUCUCAUAACCAUAGGACCAGACUACAAGGCGCAAGCCUACUUAGCUCUCUCUUUUGGGAUCAAAACUUCAGAAUGCAUUUGAUUAGGUCUGGAUAGUAGUAGGUCACUGUUUACUACGGACUACAUCAGUAAACUGCUCAGAGCCCAGUGCAUAUAGCAUCAUUCACUAACAAACUAUUUUUGCAAUACUUAAGCUCAUGCACUUACAAUUUUAUGUAAGAACAUAUCUAAAAUGUAGUUCUAGCAAUUAUUUGCAUAAGAUAUUGUAUAAAACUGGAGAGCACAGGCGGUGAUGAAUAAUACAGUGUCAAAUGCAGAAAAAUAGUCAAUUUCACUUGAUGCCUCACCAUGAAGGCAGAUUAUAAAACCAUCAAAAAUUACCUCAAAUCUAAAAGCCAUCUUUUAGUCCAAACUUAAACAAAUUUUCGUUCUUGACAAAUCACCUUGCACAUCUUCAUAACAUCAAGAAAUGAAGAAUUAUUGAUAGUAGAAGUACUGUAAGGCCAUAAAGCUAGAGUCAGCACAAAAGGAUUCUCAUACAGUAUAUUAUUGUUUUAGUCACUGGGAUAAUCCCAAGCAAGGCUAGAAAUAUCAUGCAGAUGCCAUUUUCCCCAAUCAGGCAAAUUGGGUAACGCAGCUCAAAGAGUUUGAGAAACUUGCACAUACAAAAACACUUUUUGUUUGAAUGACCCUGAAAAAAGAAUAACAAUUUCAGGUCUCAUAGAUGGAAGAUAAUAAAAUCAUCCAAAAUUACCUCAAACCUCAAAUCCGGCUUUUGUACAGCCUUCGCAAAUUAGCAGUUGAUAAAAACAUCGAAUAUAUAGGCAUUUAGAUCUAGCAUCCAAGCCCAAAUAGUCCAAUGGUUAAUCAAGUGGUCCACAUUAUCCUAAUGAAACUAGUGAUUGCGAAAAAUGACUCUCAGUUACUAUUGGCUACAUUAGUUUAUUAUUCAAAAAUAAGUUUUCUAUAACACAUUAACAAAGUUAGAAGAAUUUAACUAAAAAGCACGGAUACGGACACGGACACAAUACGAUACGGACAUGCAAAUAGUUAUCUAAAAAUUACGAUACUGACACACAAACACCCAAGUCAAAUGAAUUGCAAAGUCCUUUUAUUAAUACUCUCAUGACUCCUUAAACUUCUCUCAUUGCUGUACUUUUUAUCUUAAAAGCACAUACGGACAUGGACAUAGCCACAGACACGCAUGUCCGGAGGAAUGACACGAAUAGCCUCAAUGUGUCCAUUGUCCUAUAAAACAAAAUACAAAAAAAAAUGGACAUGCUGACGUGUCCGACACAUGUCCAAGAGUGUCCGAGAAGUGUCGGUGUCAGAAAUGAUGACUAAUUUAAAGUGUCCACACUUCUUAGGAAUUCAGAAUAAAACUGAUCAUUACCAACUUGUAAAGCUAAGUAGCCAAACAAAUAAGAAGAAAAGAAAGAAAAAAAAUAAUUUUAGAAAAACUCCGAUGUCCAUUUUAUGUGCCUGCAAAAAGAGGAACCAAAGGGAAUCCAAAGAUCUAAAAACAUCUUACUUUCUCCAUGAGCAAGGACCGAAGAAA